This 243-nucleotide unclassified non-coding RNA is filed under the name Borreliella burgdorferi (Lyme disease spirochete). Its description in RNAcentral is "partial 5S-23S ribosomal RNA intergenic spacer region". Lineage: Bacteria; Pseudomonadati; Spirochaetota; Spirochaetia; Spirochaetales; Borreliaceae. The record is from RNAcentral.
CUGCGAGUUCGCGGGAGAGUAGGUUAUUGCCAGGGUUUUUAUUUUUAUACUUUAAACUUUGAUUUUAUUUUUAUGUUUUUUAAAUAUUGGUGUUUUUGAAUGUGUUGUUUAAAUAACAUAAAAAAUAAAAUAUAUAUUGACAUGUAUUAAACAAAGAUAUAUAUUAUUUUAUGUUGUAUAAAUAAAUUGGCAAAAUAGAGAUGGAAGAUAAAAAUAUGGUCAAAGUAAUAAGAGUCUAUGGUG